Molecule: ribosomal RNA, 427 nt
Filed under: uncultured bacterium
Lineage: Bacteria
Description: bacterial SSU rRNA
Rfam family: Bacterial small subunit ribosomal RNA
Source: RNAcentral
UGGGGAAUUUUGGACAAUGGGCGCAAGCCUGAUCCAGCCAUGCCGCGUGGGUGAAGAAGGCCUUCGGGUUGUAAAGCCCUUUCGGCCGGGAAGAAAACGUGCGGGCGAACAGUCUGCAUGGAUGACGGUACCGGAAGAAGAAGCACCGGCUAACUACGUGCCAGCAGCCGCGGUAAUACGUAGGGUGCGAGCGUUAAUCGGAAUUAUUGGGCGUAAAGCGUGCGCAGGCGGCGCCAUAAGACAGCUGUGAAAUCCCCGGGCUUAACCUGGGAACUGCGGUUUGGACUGUGGUGCUAGAGUACGGCAGAGGGAGGUGGAAUUCCUGGUGUAGCAGUGAAAUGCGUAGAGAUCAGGAGGAACACCGAUGGCGAAGGCAGCCUCCUGGGCUGAUACUGACGCUCAUGCACGAAAGCGUGGGGAGCAAACA